RNAcentral lists this ribosomal RNA (253 nucleotides) under uncultured bacterium. RNAcentral's name for it is "partial 16S ribosomal RNA". It matches the Rfam family "Bacterial small subunit ribosomal RNA", at positions 524 to 776 of the family's 1533-position model. The record is from RNAcentral.
UACGUAGGUGGCAAGCGUUAUCCGGAAUUAUUGGGCGUAAAGAGCUCGUAGGCGGUUUGUCGCGUCUGCCGUGAAAGUCCGGGGCUCAACUCCGGAUCUGCGGUGGGUACGGGCAGACUAGAGUGAUGUAGGGGAGACUGGAAUUCCUGGUGUAGCGGUGAAAUGCGCAGAUAUCAGGAGGAACACCGAUGGCGAAGGCAGGUCUCUGGGCAUUAACUGACGCUGAGGAGCGAAAGCAUGGGGAGCGAACAGG